GGAUGCGAUAAUACCAGCACUAAAGCACCGGAUCCCAUCAGUACUCCGAAGCUAAGUGUGCUUGGGCGAGAGUAGUACUAGGAUGGGUGACCUCCUCGGAAGUCCUCGUGUUGCACUCC
This 119-nucleotide ribosomal RNA is filed under the name Triticum aestivum (bread wheat). The record is from RNAcentral. Lineage: Eukaryota; Viridiplantae; Streptophyta; Magnoliopsida; Poales; Poaceae. RNAcentral also lists the same sequence under 2 other names.